CACCCGCAGCUCGAGUGGUGGUCACUUUUAUUGAGCCUAAAGCGUUUGUAGCCGGUUUUGCAAAUCUUCAGAUAAAUUCCUCUGCUUAACAGAUGAUCUUCUGAAGAGACUGCGAGACUUGGGACCGGGUGAGGUUGAAGGUACUUCCGGGGUAGGGGUAAAAUCCUGUAAUCCUGGAAGGACGACCGGUGGCGAAGGCGUUCAACUAGAACGGAUCCGACGGUGAGGAACGAGGGCUAGGGUAGCAAACCGGAUUAGAUACCCGGGUAGUCCUAGCUGUAAACACUGCCCACUUGGUGUUGCCCCUCCGAUGAGGGGAGGCAGUGCCGGAGCGAAGGUGUUAAGUGGGCCGCUUGGGGAGUAUGGUCGCAAGGCUGAAACUUAAAGGAAUUGGCGGGGGAGCACCGCAACGGGAGGAGCGUGCGGUUUAAUUGGAUUCAACGCCGGAAAACUCACCGGGAGCGACCUUUGGAUGAGAGUCAGCCUGAUGAGCUUACUCGAUAGAAGGAGAGGUGGUGCAUGGCCGUCGUCAGCUCGUACCGUAGGGCGUUCACUUAAGUGUGAUAACGAGCGAGACCCCCAUCUCUAAUUGCUAACGUGCAUUCGCGUGCACGCGCACUUUAGAGGGACCGCCAGUGCUAAACUGGAGGAAGGAGGGGUCGACGGCAGGUCAGUACGCCCCGAAUCUCCCGGGCAACACGCGCGCUACAAAGGGCAGGACAAUGAGUUGCCACCUCGAAAGGGGGAGCUAAUCUCGAAACCUGUUCGUAGUUAGGAUUGAGGGCUGUAACUCGCCCUCAUGAAUGUGGAUUCCGUAGUAAUCGCGGGUCAACAGCCCGCGGUGAAUAUGCCCCUGCUCCU
RNAcentral lists this ribosomal RNA (861 nucleotides) under uncultured archaeon. Its description in RNAcentral is "bacterial SSU rRNA". It matches the Rfam family "Archaeal small subunit ribosomal RNA", at positions 474 to 1337 of the family's 1478-position model. The record is from RNAcentral.